UGGCCUCAAACUGCUGGCCUCAAACAAUCCUCUGGCCUCGGCCCCUCAAAUUGCUGGGAUUAUAAUCCUGAGCCACUCCACCAGGCCUGUUCAGAAUUCUAAUAUACAACGAAUUCUUAAUGAUAACCAAGAAAUAAAGACUUGGAGCUCAAACUGUGCCCCUGAGGCCUGCAAUUCCUGAGAACCGUGCCUCCUCCUCCCAUUCUUCCAUUUGGAAUUGCGUUAAGCACAGAGACCCGAGGAGCCUGGACACAGCGCAGGAUGAGGGUGUAAGAAGCCAAACCCCGCCUCCAAACACAGGGACUCCUCACCAGCUGGUAGGGCUUCAGCGCGCACAGAGGAAGCGAAAGGACGGGCAAGGUGCACAGAUGAGGUGGGAGGACCGGAGCCAGGACGUCUGAACCUGGUGAGGAGCUGCAGGGGUGGGCCAGGGGUGAGGAGGAGGAACAGGUGCCGGGGAACUCCUGGGACCCCAGGCUGGCGGCCACUGCCUCCUCUGUCCCUUGGGCACCCUCCCUUUGCCCUGCCCUGGAGAACGUAACUCUUAGCAGGCUCUUGCAGCCUGGACUUUCCAUGGCACUGCUGCCUCUGACUCCAAUCGCUACCACUUUCCCCCUAAAGCUUCCACCUCUGAAGAUUUGCCUCAUAUCAUCUCCUCUGGGUAAUCUCUUCUCAGCUUCCCCUUACCCCUAAGUCCCCACCCCUCCAUCCCCAAACAGGGAGCAUUGUCUCCGGUGGCUCCACUCUACUAGACCAGCAGGGAGACGAGGAAGCUUCCUUCUAUGGACCACCCGCUGGGCAUAACCUCCUCCCCUAAGGGUGGGGUGUGCAUGAGUGCCCCAAGUGCCUUCGCCCAGGCAGGUGCGAGGGCGUGUGAAACCGGAGGCGAGAGCCUGGCAGGCUGCACACCUGGGGGCUGAAAGCAGAAAGGGAGGGAUGCCCAGGCAGUCCUUAAAGGGACCUGGGGAAGCUUCAUCUUCAACCGCGGACAAGCGUCAUUCACCUGAAAUGCCAGGACCAGGAAGUCCUGCCGGCCGCAGGCACAGCCUGUCCAACGUGAUUGGACAUCACUUCCUGCCGUUCAUGUCCUCUUGGAAGGUCAGGUGGCCUCUGCAACACGACUUCUGCAUUCUGGCAGGCAAAUGAAUGACUGCACCUGACCCGUGACUCAUGACUCAACCAGUCCUGUGGACCCCGCCUGGAGGUGGACUCAGUGCACCAGGACCAUUUUCCACACCCCUCUGAUUUCAUCCUCAACCAAUCAGCAGCACGCUUUCCUUAGCCUGCUGUUCACCAAAUUCGCCAUAAAACCCCUACCUAGCCUCUGAGUUCUCAGAGAGGCUGAUUUGAGUAAUAAAGUAAUAAACUCCU
Molecule: non-coding RNA, 1371 nt
Organism: Macaca mulatta (Rhesus monkey)
Lineage: Eukaryota; Metazoa; Chordata; Mammalia; Primates; Cercopithecidae
Source: RefSeq, a predicted model, not a curated record